This 282-nucleotide ribosomal RNA is filed under the name Triticum aestivum (bread wheat). RNAcentral's name for it is "partial small subunit ribosomal RNA". Lineage: Eukaryota; Viridiplantae; Streptophyta; Magnoliopsida; Poales; Poaceae. The record is from RNAcentral.
AUGGAGGAGUCUGCGGGGGGCGCCGCGAGGCAGGCGAAGGAGUCGCUGGAGCUGGCGUUCCAGAUGUCCCAGAUCCUGGACACCGGCCUCGACCGCCACACCCUCUCGCUGCUCAUGGCGCUCUGCGACCGCGGCGCCAACCCGGAGGCUCUCGCCGCCCUGGUCCGCGAGCUGUCCUCCACUGCUCCCCCGUCCGCCGCUGCCCCCACCGCGCCCGCCUCCAACGCCGUGGCGGCACCGACCGCCCCCUCGCUGUUCCCCUCCGGCUUUCGGCAGCUCUAG